UGCAGUCGAGCGGCAGCGGGAAAGUAGCUUGCUACUUUUGCCGGCGAGCGGCGGACGGGUGAGUAAUGCCUGGGAAAUUGCCCAGUCGAGGGGGAUAACAGUUGGAAACGACUGCUAAUACCGCAUACGCCCUACGGGGGAAAGCAGGGGACCUUCGGGCCUUGCGCGAUUGGAUAUGCCCAGGUGGGAUUAGCUAGUUGGUGAGGUAAUGGCUCACCAAGGCGACGAUCCCUAGCUGGUCUGAGAGGAUGAUCAGCCACACUGGAACUGAGACACGGUCCAGACUCCUACGGGAGGCAGCAGUGGGGAAUAUUGCACAAUGGGGGAAACCCUGAUGCAGCCAUGCCGCGUGUGUGAAGAAGGCCUUCGGGUUGUAAAGCACUUUCAGCGAGGAGGAAAGGUUGUUGGCUAAUAUCCAACAGCUGUGACGUUACUCGCAGAAGAAGCACCGGCUAACUCCGUGCCAGCAGCCGCGGUAAUACGGAGGUGCAAGCGUUAAUCGGAAUUACUGGGCGUAAAGCGCACGCAGGCGGUUGGAUAAGUUAGAUGUGAAAGCCCCGGGCUCAACCUGGGAUUGCAUUUAAAACUGUCCAGCUAGAGUCUUGUAGAGGGGGGUAGAAUU
This 622-nucleotide ribosomal RNA is filed under the name uncultured Aeromonas sp. Its description in RNAcentral is "bacterial SSU rRNA". It matches the Rfam family "Bacterial small subunit ribosomal RNA", at positions 56 to 668 of the family's 1533-position model. Lineage: Bacteria; Pseudomonadati; Pseudomonadota; Gammaproteobacteria; Aeromonadales; Aeromonadaceae. The record is from RNAcentral.